UCCUGGUUUAAAGCCAGGCAGUCUGUUUAGAGAUCCCGCUUGCGCAGGCAACUAAACACAAGGGUUGCGCUCGUUGCGGCACUUAAGCCAACAUCUCACGACACGAGCUGACGACAACCAUGCAGCACCUGUGCUGGCUCUCCUCUUGCGAGGAGUCGUCACCCUUUCAGGCUUCUACUACCAGCAUGUCAAGGCCAGGUAAGGUUCUUCGCGUUGCAUCGAAUUAAGCCACAUGCUCCACCGCUUGUGCGGGCCCCCGUCAAUUUCUUUGAGUUUUAGCCUUGCGGCCGUACUUCCCAGGCGGUUCACUUAUCGCGUUAGCUACGGCACGCAGGGGGUCGACUCCCCGCACACCAAGUGAACACCGUUUAGGGCCAGGACUA
This 383-nucleotide unclassified non-coding RNA is filed under the name uncultured Verrucomicrobiae bacterium. Its description in RNAcentral is "contains 16S-23S intergenic spacer region". Lineage: Bacteria; Pseudomonadati; Verrucomicrobiota; Verrucomicrobiia. The record is from RNAcentral.